This 125-nucleotide transfer RNA is filed under the name Infirmifilum uzonense. Its description in RNAcentral is "Thermofilum uzonense tRNA". It matches the Rfam family "tRNA". Rfam says of the family: Transfer RNA (tRNA) molecules are approximately 80 nucleotides in length. Their secondary structure includes four short double-helical elements and three loops (D, anti-codon, and T loops). Lineage: Archaea; Thermoproteati; Thermoproteota; Thermoprotei; Thermofilales; Thermofilaceae. The record is from Rfam by way of RNAcentral.
GGGCCCGUAGUCUAGCGGUAGGAUGUCGCCCUUGCGCAGCGAGUCGCGCGGCGAGCACAAGGAAUUCGUAUAUGGGGUUCGCCGGAGAUCGGCGGAGGUCCCGGGUUCAAAUCCCGGCGGGCCCA